GUGCUUGCUUCGGCAGCACAUACACUAAAAUUGGAAUGAUACAGAGAAGAUUAACAUGGCCCCUGUGCAAGGAUGACACGCAAAUUCGUGAAGCGUUCCAUAUUUUU
Small nuclear RNA from Bison bison bison, 107 nucleotides. The record is from Ensembl. Lineage: Eukaryota; Metazoa; Chordata; Mammalia; Artiodactyla; Bovidae.